CUCAGGUUAGUGCGUCGAUUGCCACAAUAAUAGCGAAACCUUUCGUUCCUUAAAUAUAGUGCUUCUUCUAUUACUACUUAUGUAGCAGAGUUAAACUGGCGAUUUUUGGUUAUCAUAAGCCUUUAACUGGAUCACCUAACUCUUUGUUCUUGUUCCGUGUUCCUCACUGUUUUCGAUAUCCGAUAUUUAUAAUGAUAUCCUUUGUUUUUAGUGCGCCAUUAUUGAUCUUGCUUGCUGUCGGCAAAUAUAUAUGGUCGGCCAAUUGAUACUACACUUUUCACCUCUCUUACCCAAUCGCUAUACAAACAACAUCGACAAUGUCGCCGUAAAACUGCCGCAAUAACAACCGAAUCGUCGGCGCUGAGUUGUUUUUUACCAUUUGUUGUCGAACCCACAGUCGUUUAGUAAUAGAAAUAAUCUUAUUAUCGUUGUUCUAUAACCAUUACCCGAUACCACUACCACUAGAGUGAUAGAUCGGUAGCGCUGUAUUGAGCCAUCGAGAACAGUGGAAGUUGUACGAGUUGCCGAUCUGCUUCGAUGACGAGCACUUCCUCAGCUGCUGCUACCUAUUGGGCCGCCCUAAUACAUGAAUUAGCACUCGUGUAAGUCGCGGCUGUAGCACUGAUAGUAGUCGCAUUUGUAUCUCUUGUAGCCGCUAUCCGAAUUCUGGCGAUAAACUGCUGUUCACAACGUAAGCAACCGUUUUCACCGCGAUCGCGUAUCGCCGUUUCCACCUCCCACAGCAGCAGCGGCUUUACCUGCUUCAGCAUUGACCGUCACUUUUACGCGACGAUGGCCAAUAAUAGGCCCUUCGCGGACCACUGUGCACAAAUCAGCAAGCAUCUAAUUUUACACGGUCACCAUGGAAUGGCAAUAGUGGACGAAGACGCACGGGGCAACGCCGGGAGGCAAACUUGACUGGAAGACCAAACCUGAUCUUCUCGACUAACCGACCGACCGACCGACCGACCGACUGACGGCCCGGCUCGCCGAUCACCCAAUCACCGAUCACGAUUGGCCAUCAACGACGCAGUACCGACAACAUCAUAAAUGACAAAACUGGAUGUGACAACGAUGUCAACAAAAAAAAUGAAGAUUUCGGGGCAAACGAGUCACUCCUUCGCUAUUCUACUCACGCGUCAACGGUCCUCGAUGUUCCGUGCUGCUACGGCUGCGACCGCCACUAUUGACGGGGUAUUCACUCACCGCGAUAUAUACACCAGAGAAACAGACAGGUACAAACAACCCGAGAAAAACCCACGGCACUCACCACACAUUCAUGACGAUUACUUGCUGUUAUGUGUGCGAGACUGUUGUUAGCCGAUUGGGUGGUCGACUUUUUCUUCGCCUAGCUGGUUUUUGGCCGAAAGUAACUGAUAUUGUCGUUAUCGACGGUAAGCGAUACUGUGGUUCAUCUAUGUGACAAACUGGCGCUAGCAAACGUAGAGAUUUGCUGCGACAGCCGUAAUUGCACGCGACUUUCGCCUACGGUUUCUGCCACCAACAACAGCAGAAGCUGUCCGUGCUGCUGCCGUUCCUGCCACCACUGCGACUAACACCGUUGAUCAGUUCUGGCCAAUGACGAGUCACGGCUGCGGGGUCCCAACUCUUUCGGCCCAGUUCGGUCGGCUGGGUUCGGUUCAACCAAACGUGCGACAACCAACAGCCUCUAGCCCAUCCAUGGCAAUUACUGCUACAGCUUCUUCUGCUAGACGGAGUCUUACGACUUACUACUAUUUCGAGCUGCUGCUGCUGCUGGUGCCGCCGCCGUUACUGUUGUUGAGUCCCAUGCUGUCGAUGCUGUGACUCUACUUUGCUGUCGUUAGGUGCAUGCUGUUGUUGCUGUCGCAGCCAGCCAAUGAUCGGCUUGAGGCUUCUUUCUCGCCGUCGUCGUCGUCGUCGUCGUUGUCGUCCUCUCCUCUCCUCUCUACCGUCUGGUCACUCACUGCUGUGUAAUGCUGUACAGACGGACAAACAGGCGGACGGACCUCGGAGCAGCGACGGCUGCUCUUACAGCGGAGAACUGAGAGCGGCGCAGGCGCUGACGGAAGCUCACAAAAAACAAUAUGGCGGCCACCUUUCGUCUGUGUUUCUGGCUGAACCGUACGCGUGUGUAUAUGUGCAGUCUCCCUACACGUGAUGGAUAGCAGUCGACAAAGUGAGCCCAGUGAGAGCUGCUGCCGUAAGGGUUCAUCACUGUAUCCAAUCAGCGCAGUUCUGCUCGGCUGCUGUUAGUUAGCAGACGAUUGCAACAACAACAAAGGCUGUACGCGGACACACUUCUAUUACUACCAUAUGAAACAGCGAGGGGUUGUAGUUAACUGUGGGGUUCUGGUGACGAAACGCUGGGCUAAUGAUCAGCAGCGUCGGUGCAACUCAUUGUCAGUCGUCUUCGUAUGGUCCGCCACAGGCAAACAUCGUACGGGUAUAGCUGAAUGAGAUCGAGGGCUCAACGCCAAUGCUCGGCCGGGUAGAUAGAGAACGAAACGACCGGAAAGUCGACACACCCAUGUGAACUAGGACGGGUUCAAAAUGUCGAGUAGUCUCAACACGGCGACAGCUGCAACCAAAGGCAACACAGACAUCCGUUGAGCUUACUCGGAGGCGCAUUUAUGUUUGUCUCUACCAACGGGGGCCAAGAGUAUCAAUGUUUGGUUGUGCAAUAUCAGCAAUAAGGAAGCACUCGGGCAUAGAUACGGACAUUAAAUCAAAACACCAGCUAAAAAUAACGGGCACUCUAAACAAAAAACGUAUCGGAGAUAUGGAUCUAGAAUAAUGACAUAGCUACAAAGAAGAAACUUUGAAAUAUAAAGGUCUGAAAAACAUAACAUUGUGUACAAAAUACGAAGCAUUUUUGUACCAUUUACUAUCUAUUACUGCCAACUCGAAAACCGUAAUUUCUAACAAUUUUGUUAAGGAAAAGUAGUUAACUCUCGGUACUGAUACUUUUCAAAUUGGCUAAGUAUCCCAGUAGCAUAGACAGGUUUGGGAUAUAAAUCGCAUAUAACAUGUCAUGAUGUUCAGUGCAGUGAGCUGCACGGUGAAGCUUCUGGGUAAAGUGGGUAACACAUCGCUAGUUCAAGCCCUGCUAACGACACUGACUUGAUAAUGAUAGUAAUAAUUAAUAAUUCAACUCGUUUACUUACAGGACAAUUUCGUGACACGCUUGUCUUGUGUUUAGUUCCUUCAAGUAUGUCUAAAGCUGUGAUUGCAUGACAGCCGAAUUGAGGCUACGUUACAUGUAAACAUUACCGUACUCAACCAGUAACUAUAAUCAGUCAGCGGCAGUACAAGCGGCAAAAUGUGCUCGAAAGGUUGCCAUGACUUGAGAAUUCUUGCUUCAAUCUUAAUAUCAUAUAUUAUACAAAAAAUUAUGUAAAAAAUUUCUGUAGUUUAUUUGAAACUGAAAUGUAUCGUUGUUCACAUAAUAGUUAAUGUCUAUAUAUAACAUUUCUAAUUCCCUUUUCGUGAAAAUACGAGGAAAAUGUAUCAAUGAUACAUUCAAACAAUACGUUCUCACACUAUCUAGUUGUUUGGCUGUACGCACCAAUUAUAUAUAGGUCAAAACUUCGUCUUUUUUGCUUUUCUUCAGUAAACUUAUUGUUUUUUUUUUUCGGAAAUUCCGGGUAUCAUUAACAUGGAAACUGAAGCACAAAACAACAGGAAGUCAUUAGGAAAUACGAAUUUUCAUGAUUAGUUGAGCGCAAAAUAAGAAUAUUCAUGAAACUGAACAUACACAAAUUAGAUGCACAGGAAACAAAUAAGACUAUUUUAUUUUUUUGAUAACAAAAAUAGUUUCUGUCUACUUACUAGUUAUCACCACGGAGUACGCAACUACGAGUAAUGAUUGCUUUGCAUCUGCGGCCCGUCGAACAGCUCAGCGUAAAUAGUGCUAUUGAAAUUUUAACGAACUUGCCGAUAGCUUUUCCAAAAUAACUAUUAAGAAUAAAUGUUUAAAGCUAAUUCUGUCAUUUUUCCAUGUUGCUUCCAUUCUAUCUCUGGUCUCAUACACCUUCGAGCCACAUUUUCACUUAAAAUUUUCAUACACAAGUCGUUUAGCUUAUUUGUCUUUUCCAACGUAUGUCUAUUAAAAAUUAACCUCCUUCUUUAGUGCAUGGAUAUUAGAUGAAAAGCUUUCAAUAACCAUUUAUUUUUAUUAUAACUUACCAAGGAACAUUGCCGGAAUCGCCUAGAAAACAAAAUACCAUCUUCAUUUUUCCCCCUAGAUACAAUGUCUUGACGCACGUAAAAGAAACAAAGUGCUUCAUGAAAGCGUCUCGUAUAUGUACACGUAACUUUUUUUUGAGUGGUGCUUCAAGCGGCUUUUGUGCCCCUUCGAUUAACGCAGGACGCUUUGGACGUCAUUUGAGCUGAAGAACAUUUGGGGAUUGGGCCAAUUAACCACUGAAGCACAGAACAAAUCAGAGGUCCCUAUGUUAGUAUCGGCUCCUUGCUGACCUGGAACACUUCUGUUUGCGUAGGAAGUUGGUCGACGUUUGGCAGUUUGGAAUGUCUUGGGCAGACCGGUCUCAGAAACCUUUUUUGCUAACCGCGCGUCAAAAUGCUCUUGAAAUGUAUCCAAUGGCAUUAUAAGUAUAUUGGAUUCAUGUUGUCGAACUACAGCAGAAGUCUACCGUGAUGGUGGCUGCGGCAGAAUACAUCAGAACGGAACCCGUGUUUAACGCCACCAGACAUCAAUGUUUAACCGGCGUUAACCGGCGUUAACCGGCAAUAAUGUAUAACAAGCUUUACGAACAAAAAAAAAACUUGAUUCGGGCUUUUUGUUACAAGUCGAAACUACUAUUAUAAAUAAACAUCUCGAGUUUUUACGACUGGUGCUGGCGUAAAUUAUUGUUAGACAGCGUAUUUACUAGUCUAUCAAGCCAGUGUUAAGUUUAGCAUUACUAGCGAAAGUUCUAAUUCGUGAACGCAUAAUAAUAUAAGCAAUGACUUUAAAACAUUGGAAAGUACACAUAUAGUUAAUUAUACUCUAUACGCGUAUUAUUCAACAAUGCUGUAGGCUCUUUCUCGGCGCGUGCGGUUUUUCCUAAGCUAUUGUGCAAUGACCUUGAUAGCGCAGCUCGGAACAGGCGAACGGGUGCAGGUUUGUCAAUUAGCCCUGACUUCAGAUCGAAUUCGAAUCCAAAGCACCUAAACAUGUAGGACGUCGGCCCACCUUAGCCCAGCUAAUUAUCAACUUUAACAUGACAUCUUUUGUGAAUAAGACGAUUCAUUAUGCAGCUUUUUGUUUAAUGAGUUAAUAAGCAAACACGGGCUUUCGUAUCUAAGGUUUUCUAACUGCACCAGCAUCCGCCAGAUCCCUUUGUACCUGGCCUUAGAUCGGUACUGAUUUUAAUGGCGGGCGACUCUGCAGCUACAAUGGCAACCGCGACAGAAAAAAAACACCGAAUGACCGCUAAGCAACUAUUUCAACACCAGCUCAAGUCAAAUAUCGUCUGCGUCAACAAAACUGCUCAUGCAUGACCCGCUCUUAGCUACCUAUUCAACGAGACUGAACGAAUACAAUAAAACGCACCCCUCGAAUUUCAUUUGACAAUACGCGUCUUGUCGUUUAUUUGUCGCAGUUGUGCCAGUUUCGCUUGGCUUCCGUUGACAUCAUCGUCGCAUCGAUAUUUUUCAAUCUGUCAUUGUCUUUCUUUUAUUGUUUCUGCCCAUAUUUUAUUCAAUCGCUUUACUCUCUCUCUCUCCAUUUCUCAUUGCUACAGUUCUUUCCAGUGCUUUGUUAUUGUUUCUAUUACUGUUAUCGAUGUCAACGUCGUCUUUUUUUUGACGCCACUAACGGCAGCAUUACAGUCAAAUCUUUCUGUUCUUUGGCCUUCUUUUUUUUUUUUUUUUUUUUUUUUUUUUUUUUUUUUUAACCCCCAUUUGCGAUCUUCCGCUCCGUGUUUUAUGAACGCAGCAGGUUUACAAAGUACUUUUCUAGCUAGCUAAAUGGACGCCCGUUUACAUAGUUAACUCUUUUGCUCACGUCAACUUUCGCGCAUCGCUAAGCCAUUCUCUCACACAGACUCUCCAUUGCUCGGUGCUCGUUACCAUUUCUGUGUUCUACCUUGUUCGACAAUUCGCUGGACAUUUCCGUGGAGGCGGACGGUGGGGUCUCAAUUCUAAGCAAUGGCGUUUGCGUCUGCUGCUGCUGCUGAUUCCGUUCGCUAAUCAAAUUUUCGAAUGAAUUCGAAAUGACAGUAUGGCUGUCAAAACGUGGAUUUACCCCGUUUCGUUUUUGCAUAUAUUUGGAUAACACAUGAUUAAACGGGUCACGUGGGGCAUCCGUCCGCCAUCCCUGACCAGUUCCAGCUGUUAAUUCUACUGUUGCAAUGCGGCUCAAGUGUAUAUACUUUCGGAUCGUAUUAUUAUCAUCUUCGGGUGGCAUUACGUAGUGGCGAAAUAUAAUUCAGUUUCCUUUCCUAUCAUAUAUAUAUAUAUAUAUAUAUAUAUAUAUAUAUAUAUAUAUUAGUACCCGUAUGCUCCAGAUCGGUGGACGCACAAAAGCCGCAAGGAAAGGCGGUUGACAUUUUAGAUAAUUAUUAUACUGUCUCUGAUGGUAUAGUGUCAGUAACCUAAUUCAAAACACACAAUUUAUCUUAAUUAUUAGCUUGUCCUUAUGGCUUAACGUCAUCUCGUGGCAUAAACUUUCCAGAGCACUGUAGGGUAUGGACGGGUAGCACCCCGCUGAUUUCUGGUAAAAGCUUGCGCAGUUGUGCAGAUCAUUGAAGACUUCUCGGUAAUAGUGAAAGGUAAUCUUGUAUCGAAUACAAUACAAACUCCGUAACUAAGAACACAGAAAAAAAAGUCGACAUCUUUUGAAAGCUUUGUAAGUUCCGCGCAAUUAAAAAUUGGAGAAUCUGCACUUGUUGAUUAAUCCCACAGCGUAGGCGUUUCUUUUUGCCUCUCUCGACAGUACGACCGUCUAAUUUCGGCGAACAAGAUGAAAUAUUUUCUAAUGCUUAUGUGAGCAUUGUCCUUUUUGCACAUGAUGUUUGAAAUUUUGCGUAUAAACUUGUAUACGUGUCAUAAUUGCGGCUCUAGUUAUUCUCUGCUUACCGGCCUCUGACGCGGACGGAGUUCAUAUCAGCUCUUUAAAUGGCUCUAUAAAAAGGAAAGCGACGGCCAAACAGACACAUCUGAUCAACAAGUGGCGUCAAACGUAGUGUGGGUCAGGUCCGGAGGCUCCUCUUCCCUGCUUUCAAAUCUCCGUCAAACGUUUGACCUCUCUGAAGGGACCUGAUUGGCUGUGGCAUUGGAUGCACUAACGUUGAAUGACUAGAAGAGGUGUGAUAGUAACAUAAACAAGCAACUCACUAAGCAACAAACGAAGCAACAGAGGCAUUUCUUCAGCGACCUCCUACAUGUUUUCACUGGUGUCAGCAGUAGUCAAUGCAGCGACCGUUCGAAGACGAUAUUAAUAGCAUACAUCAUUCGCCUACAGCAAAGUUUAUGCUAUCUUCCGUUUAUAUGAUCCUCAGUCGAGUGCAAUAAUAACGAUUAUAAUAGAAGUAAUGACGCAGCCUACGUAACGGUACGACGCGAUCGAUCACACCGCCUUUCAUUGGCCGCCGGACGAAUCUAGACGGACGUUUCUUUUCUCGUUUACGUCUAGCGUCGUUGUUCGGGCUUCGAACAUCUUCGGCACGACCAUUUGCUAUUGUUAUUCAUGACAAACAAACGUUUAUAGGCAACAAACACUAUAUUCACACAGCAACAACUUUACUACUGCUCACUGUCAUGUUCUCGUUGUCAGGCUGUUACGGUCAUUAGGCUCUAUAUCGCGUACUAUCGCCCUGGUGCCGAUUCGAACCGGCCAUCCUUUUCCGUCCCUUCAAUAUAUGUCGACUGCAUUGACCAGUGCUGCAGAAUUCGGCCUGUGGAAUCCCUUUAUCGAUUGCGCGUGUCCGGCUGGUAGAGCCGAAAUCUUAUCAACUUCUAGUUGCUAUACAAUCUUCUAUUUCUGUCACGUUAAUAAUUUCGGUUAGUUGAAAUCUAAUCAGCACCCAUUUUCCUCUAAUGCCCAGUCGACGAAAUUAGCCACAAACCUAUAUGAAACUGUCGAUGUCGUAGGCAGAAACUUAAAAUUGUGUGAUCAGCUUUCACUAGAAACAAGUAGAGGAAAUACACUGUCGGGUAAAUUUUCAUCGUUUCCACAUUUUCCAGUUUGACUUAUGCGUCGAAGGGUGGAAGUUCUCAUUUUUCGCUUGUUGAACUACUAUUAUGGCCUGUUUUCUAUCGCUCCUGCCCUUUUCGACAGAAGUUCUUCGUUCUCUUCUCUACCGCUAGUUACCCAUGUACCAAACAAAAUGUGCUCAGCAUGCACUACGUUACCUGCCUCUGCCACUAUUUGCCUAGCUACUUUCGACUUUUUUGCACUGGCAUUGAUACAUCGUAAUAUCGUUACAUGUUCGCAGUCCGAAUACCGAUACCUGGGCCUCUAAAUAUAGUAUGUGAGUUUCACAAUAUUCAGCGUUUUCGUCGACCACCCGUACGUAAUGGCCCGUACGUCAUCUUUUCAUUGUUCCGGCGUCGUUUUGUCUCUCUAUUUUUUUUUUUUUAUUAUUUAUAUUCUAUUUUUCGACCCCGCAUCUCUUCUAGUUCUCUCCUCUUUUUCUCUACUAUGUCGCGACGAUAAAUUAGUCCAUUUUGCAAACCUUUUAAUAUAAACCGUAGUGCUCCUUGAAUAAUAAUAAUUAUGUAGUAAUAGCAUCUGUCGGCGUAUAUUUUCCUCCUCUUAUUAUUAUUAUGGUAAUUCUUCUUUAUAAUUAUAUUAACCAGCAUUAGUAUAUUUAUUACUUUUCCUCUAUCUCCUUUUCUGUGUCUCGCAUAUUAUAACAUGUUUCAAGUAGUUAAUUGGAACAUGUUUGACAUGAACAUGAUUAUUUUUUCUUUCUAGACGGACGGAGCGAAACCGCUCUAAGGCGGAGUUACGGCAGGGUAAAUAGGGUCCACGAGACAAUCCCAUAAAAGCGUUCCCAAACAAUGGCGUAUGUCGGAGCAACUGUGUUCUAAAUCUUGUCCCAACUCUACUGCUUGGGGAAGACGCUUCGAGAAAGAUCGCGCAGGCCUCAGGGGCUAACCUCUACGCGAAUUGGCCGGAUUCUACACGCGGGGUACCCGUUGCCGUUUUAGGGCUAGAAGGACUGUGGGCCGACCUAAAUCACACUAGUUGAUUAGCCCCAAAUUAUUAGUAAGACGAUCCCUGGCCGAAGGGACGGAAGUAUUGCUGAAUUGGUUACAUAGUUUUAUCAAGUCUCAUAGCUUCAGUCAUCAGUUAAGAGCCAUGAGUCAGCUUGUCUAUUAUCUGUUUUUGCAUUUUGUAUUGAAAUUGUGUUCCAUUUGUUUACUGCGAACAUGUUUUGAGUCGCGUUUAUUUUUAUGACGUAUUUAUGGCGGGCUGAUGUGCUUGCGCUUAGACUUCCGUAUAUGACAUGACAUUCGCACGUAUUUCUAGAUAGCACAAUAUUUUCUGUGAUCCUAUCUACGCUUCGAUUUGUGUGUAUGCUAUUUUAUCUAUGGAUUUGUUUGUUUUGAGCCAUCCGUAUUCUCCUAGCAGACAAAUUUCGUCUCUUAGCAGGCGGCUUUUUUUUCUCUUAUUGCUUGUCCAGUGCUCGUGUGUUAAUUCGUGUUGCUUCUUUAUGGCAGUCCGUCCGUUUCUAGUAUUAUUAUAAUCUAUACAUGGUUGUUUUUUUCAGUCGUUUCUUUUCCUUUUCCUGUUGUUGUAUUUAUAGGGAUUGCGAGUGCGCAGUACAGGUGUUUAAUGUGAUCGUUAAGCACGGCCAUAUGUAUAGUUAGCGUGAACGAGUGAACGGGUAGAUGUGUGUCUGUUCGCGUGUGUUUACGGAUCCCAGGUCAUAUAUGACGCCUUACAAACUGCUAGUCAGUUUCUCAACCCUCAAUAGUACAACUGACUUUGGUCAUUUUUUUGUCUCAGUCGACUUGGCUUAUCGUUGCACAUGUAUUGUCAUCGUAAUUACUGGUAGAUGCUUUGUCCUAUCGAAAUGGCACGACUUUCAUUUCUCUUCUCCGAAUAUUUUUCGAGAUUUAUAUGUCCAUUGUAUAUGAAAGUAAUCUAUGAACCACUACAAGUAGAUCGGAUGGGUGUUCGUUGUUCCAACAUAUAAUCAUGACGUAACUAUGACAACGUUUCGCUUAUUCGACGCUGCCUACACUGCAGAAUAUCAAUUCACAAUUGGCAUACAGCUCUGACCUAUUCGUCCUUGUUGUGUCAAUAAAUCAUCUAUUUGUGUUUCGAUCUGCCGCCAUCUUUUUGCGGAACAUCUGCGCCUUUUAUCGUUACUGAGCACAGUAUAUUAUCUACUGGCUACACGGUGUUACAUAGUAUAUUAUAUUGUCUUUCAUAAUCGGUUGCUGUCACCACAAAUAUUCAUAAUGACCUCCCCACAUCGGUUUCCUUCAAAAGAAAGUGACCUGUUUACGUCAACUGCAACCGCUACCACGGCACUGCUACAGCCCUUCCCUACAUGUACCAUAGCUAUUACAUCAUACAUGGAUAUUUUCUACUAAUAUAACUGUCCUAGUAAUAAUAAUAAUAAGCAAUUUGUUUAAUAAAUAAUAUACGAUAGUAGUAGUAAUAUUAUUGUCGUUAUCGAUUUCGAGUUAAUUGGUUUCAUCACCAAUGUAACAUUAUUAUCCAAAUGCAUUUUCUGUUUAUAUGUUAGUCUUGUGUUUGAGUUAAUGAUACGAAACUUGGUGCGGUUGAUAAUAAUAAACAGGGUAAAUAUUAAUGAACGUUGGUAAUACUUACACUUCGUCACACUGCCAGCACGAUAGUCGCAGCGAUAAAACAGUUCUUGCGGUUUUACGUUUACGUGUCCCCUCUUCUUUCUUUCGUUUCGUUCUAAAUCGAUGGACAGUGUAAUUCGAAUACACGGUAACGUACGUUAUUGUUAGCUUUUUAGGUAUCUGCAUUAUGACAACGCGCAGGCCGUUUGAGACCACAGAAGGAUUACCUUCACCCGUGCGACAAUAGUAAUAUUGGAAAUAAUAACUAUACGAGACAGGACUUAUUCGAUCAUUGCUUUCGCUUCGCAACGCUGUUCAGUUGGUUGAAGACUUUCGGGUGCUCACUUGCUUAUGCUUCUGCACGGCGCCGAGCUCUUCACGGUCGAUUUCUAUCUGAGGGGCUUGACAUAGCUUGACACAUAAUUACUUGUUCAGACUUCCUGACUAGCGUGUACAAAAGGUCUCUAAAAGUCUUCAAAGAGUAGAAAAUAGCGAUGUAUGUACGUAUUUCACGGGAGAAUUAGUUCCCAUGUGUGUGGGUGUAUCUGCGUGGCUCGGCAACGAUCCUUUAUUAUCGCCCUGAUCUUCAAAAUCGCUGAUCUCAGUGACAGACCAGACCAUUGAAAUGCUAUUGGGAAGGCCAAUAAUAAGAGAUUCAUUCCUCUCGCGAUGUCUGUUUUGUCGCCUACCUGUCGCUACUUUAAUUGAAGAUAACAUCCUUCUUCCCGUGGUUUCUCUCCUUUCUACCGAAUCUUCAAAGAUACUCCUCGAUCACGACUGGCGCAAAGCGACUUUCAUCAAUGAAGCAACAGCGAUCAGAAACCUUCACGUCGUAAUUUUUAGCGCGAUUUCUCACUCGACCAUCUGGAUGCCUUUUCUAACCCACUGUUUUUGGAAUGCGUCAUAAUUAUUUUUGUCCUGUUUGAUCCUGUUCUCCAUUGCCCCAUGCAAUUGCCCUUACGGCAAGUUUCGGGAACUACUGGGCUAUGUUUAACGUGUAUCUUUGCUGAUCCCAUUUGACUGCUAUGGACCCAGCAACGAGGCGUGCCUACACGGCGACGGAACGUACGGCGCCUUCGCACGCCGGAAACGCGUAGAGAAGAGCCAGAUUGUACGUGCGCCAAACCUCGACAACACCACUCUC
This 11896-nucleotide long non-coding RNA is filed under the name Varroa destructor (honeybee mite). RNAcentral's name for it is "uncharacterized LOC111244509, transcript variant X1". Lineage: Eukaryota; Metazoa; Arthropoda; Arachnida; Mesostigmata; Varroidae. The record is from RNAcentral.